AACAGCGUAAUCUUUUUUUAGAGUUCUAAUCGAUAGAAAGGAUUGCGACCUCGAUGUUG
This 59-nucleotide transfer RNA is filed under the name Cryptocephalus pusillus. Its description in RNAcentral is "tRNA-Ser". Lineage: Eukaryota; Metazoa; Arthropoda; Insecta; Coleoptera; Chrysomelidae. The record is from RNAcentral.